AUUCCAUGAUCGUUCGUUCGUGCGAUGUACACACGGAGGAGAAACGAUAUUCGAAGAAUCCCUUUGACCGUGGCACGAGCAAACUUUCGAGAAUUUGAUCGGCAUGGCAGCGAAAGAGUGAGCAUAGCUCGACAGUUUUAUCUGGUCCAUGGUAUCGGGAAUGAAUAGCCCGCCGGUAAAUUUAUCGAGGAAACCAUGAAUCGGCUGAAUGCGUAUAUCAUCAAUUCGAUAAGGAGCGUAUCGCUUGGGAAUCCUCCAUAGGCGAUCUCUUUCGAGUUUUCCGAUUGUCGCGUGCGUUUCGCAAUCUUCCAACCUGACUUGUAAGAUAUUCGCGGUCGCGACUAGGUUUUCUCCGUAGAGCAUCGGAUGCGAAGUUCCGAGAAGUACCGCGAUAGAUAAAAAUAGAUAAAAGCGACGGCAUCGGUGGCCCGUUGGCGUUCUGGGAACGCUUUCGUCAAUCAGGGUCACGAGUGCACCGAUGCGCCUCGUUAUGUCUAAAAGCAGUUUCGUGUAACUCCGAGGAAACGAAGGUUUCGUUCAACGAAUGAACGGCAACCGUACUGACCUAAACACGUUCUAGAUGACAAUGCUUUGAUGGAAACGCAUUAACCAACCGAAUUAUCGCGUCGGUUACGUGGUUUCCGUAUUGUUCUUUGCUAUCUCUACCUUGGUACAAUGUUACCGAAGUUAAGGGUAUUUCCCAUUUGCAAUCGAUAGGUAUAUAUUUAAUCAUUUCUGUCCCAAGCAGCGUGUCGCAUAUUUAAUUCGUCGAAAUAAGAAAGCUGAACUAUCAUUUAUAACGAAGAGGAGAGUUCGUAGGUCGCUUGCAAAAGCCUCAAUAACCGUCUCUCUUUCUCGCGUAUACGUCGAUCGAACGAGCUCGACUAUCUUUCGUAACGAUGAGGUGAAAAGAAAAGACAGGGUGGUCGCGUUGCGUUGGUGGAAAGAUAACAGAGCGCGAGUGUGAAAGAAAACAGUGUGCAAUCAACGGUAUGCAUAUACGACACUUUUCGCAUAAAGUUGCAAAAUCGUGCUGCGCGCAAGCAAAAGCAAAAACUAAGCGACUUUUUUUCAAUGCUUCGAUAGCAGUUUGCUUUGUCGUGAACGUGCACGACUUAUUUCUUAAUCCACAAUCGAGGGAACCAAUGUUGAAACCAGGCUUUGCUAAGGACGCGCCCUAUAUUUUUGUAUGUACGUACAAGUACGUUGUAAAAAUAUACGUUUAUCUGCAAAUACGGUUCGUUCUGAUAUAAACAAGAUGGUCAAUCGUCGAACAGUCUUUUCGAAAAAAAAGAUUGUAGUUAAAAAGCAGAAGAAAAUACAGAACACUCGUCGAGUAAGAUGAGCAUGAGCGUAAAGAGGUUAGGUCGAAGAAGUCUGGGAAAGUAGAGCACAGGGAAAUUGGAGGAAAUGCAGUGAGAGGGAGAAAAUGGGAGAAAAAAAAUUGCGGGAAGAAGGGCUGGGACGACGACAAAGUGGAAUGAAAGCGAGCGCGAGGGAGGCGGAAGUCGAAGGGUGAAGGAAGGGGGAGAGGAAAAACGCGGGCGUAAAGAAAAGGAAAGGAAACGAAGGGAAACAGAAAGAAACGCAUGGCACGAGAAGGGUAGCUGGUUUCGACUUUGUAGUAGGCCUCGAUCGAUGCUGUUACCAUGGUUACAGGGCAGUACCGCGGUGCUCUACUACUGAUUAUUUAUGUCAAGGAUCCCUCCCUGCUUCGAAGCUCGGAGCGCAAACUGAAACGCGAAUCACCCUAACCGGAGUGGCGAUGGUCUUUCGAGUCUCCCUCUCGCAAGAUUUCCAACAAUUUUUUCACACCGAGUUUACACGUUGCGAACGUUACUCAAUUUUCAUCCUAGAAACCCGAAUUCGCUUUGUCGAAUCAAUCUUAUUUUCAAUUUCGUCUUCGAAAAUUUCCUACCGACGAAUCAGGCGAACGAUAAAGUCUCGUACUUAAAAAUUCCAAAUUGAAUCGAGUACGAUGUUAUCGAAAACGUAGAAUGAUUCGCUUAGUGAUACUACGACUAAAUUAAAUGCGAAUUCUUAUACUAUUUACACAAUUUUUUAACGUUGCUAACUUUGUGAUCUAUGUAUGUAACUACAUAUGUAUACAUGUAGAUAGAAAAAUGUCUCGCGAAAUCUAGCUCGAGAAGCAGAACGGGGUUUCUUCGAGCGAUUCAACAGCCACGGGAAACCAAUAAAAGUUAAUGACUCGAUUUAAGUGGUUUCACAGAACUUUUCCUUUCUUUCGUUUUUUUCUUACAAUGAAAGAGCUUUAAGAAAGACGUGACUAAAACGGACAUAUGUAUUUUAUAUGGUCUCUAAGAUCGGUGUCUAUCAGUUAUCGAGCAAUUUGUUUCUUUUACGAAAUCCCUAAGUUUCCUAAACUUUUGGUAAAUCAAUUUUCAGUGCUUUAAUCGUCCAGAUAAAUAAAAGUAUACGAAUUUGUACGUCGUAACCCAAGAGAUAGGUUAUGUCUAUUCAGCCAUAAUUUAAAAGAACUUUAACGUUACAAAAAGUAAAAAAGAUAACAUAAAGGAAUAGGGGUUCUUGUAAGAAAUGAGAUAAUAAGAUUAUCGGAUUAGAGGAUCAUAAGCCACCGGUAAAUUUUUUAAUGAAUCGUCUUAAAUGCGUUGAAGCGAAGAUUAGUUGGCAUUUAAAUGAUAGUUAUUAUUAAUGGCAAGUGACGACUGGAGAUGGAGCUUCGGUGCUCUUUUUAGAGCGAGCAGGACGGAGUAGAAUACGCAGAGGGAAGUAUUACCGUUGGGAAGGAUGCUUUCGACCCAGUUUCACCCUUCCAUGGUGGUGGAACCGUCAUGAGCAAUCGAUACUGCGUCAAGAGCCACGACGUCGUGCUCUAUCAUUAUGAGAGAUAUUGCUCUACCUUGCGCAGAAACGACAAUUAAACGCGAGUAAAAUGAUGUCAUCUUUCUCUUUUAACUUCUCUCUGCUCCUUUUUCGACAAGUUCUUUUUCUAACUCCGCGGCUGCCAAUAUAACCUAAUUUUUAGAUUGUAAUAUUCGACUAUUAGUUUAAAAAAAUAAUUUAACUCUAAAAUACUGCCUCUUUCUCUUGCGCUCUCUCUUUUCCUUGCCAAGGUGAUAUACAGUUUAUUAAAGUUAAUUAUUCGUUACAAUCAGUAAUAUACUCGUUACCUAUAACAGGCAUCUUCGCCAUUUACCGUAUAGUUUCUUGAAAGUCGGAUAAUUUAUAAUUUUAGCGUGUUAAUAAACGUAUGAUUGGAGAAUAAUGUAAAAAUUUUGUUACUGCUACUUUGAAUAUGCCGUAUCUUUACAUGAAGAUGAUUAUUUGGUACAUUAUAUACGUACAUUCACAAUGUACCUUUUACGUAUUCGUCACGGAGUGUUUAUAAUGUACCACCAUUUGCAUUCACUUGAAUGCAAAAUAACCAUAUUUUUAAGAAUUAUGAUAAAACCGUCAAAAUAGUGCGUCAUGAGUUACGAUAUAAAGACGAAUCCGAAAACAAUUUGUUACAAAAAAUAAUAAAGAAAUCAAUUUUCUUAUGA
Long non-coding RNA from Bombus impatiens (common eastern bumble bee), 3524 nucleotides. RefSeq lists it as uncharacterized. The record is from RefSeq and is a predicted model, not a curated record. NCBI's taxonomy places the organism in Eukaryota, Metazoa, Arthropoda, Insecta, Hymenoptera, Apidae. The transcript has 2 exons.